CUUGGUCAUGUCAUUACAAUUCUCUUUAAACAUGUUAGUUAUUUUAGUAUUAUCAAUAUAUAUAGCACCAUUAUAUUCUGCAACACUUCACAUUUAUGGAAAGGGGAUAUUUAGACACGAAAAAGGCCCUACCCACUUUAGUCUACACUCUAUAAGGAUUUUGAGGUAGACAGAUAUAUAGUUAGGUGUCUUGUCUAGGGACACUUACGUGGAGUGUUCUCACUGGGGUUUUUAACCUGGGUUUCCCAAAUGUAAG
Molecule: non-coding RNA, 256 nt
Organism: Pelobates cultripes (western spadefoot toad)
Lineage: Eukaryota; Metazoa; Chordata; Amphibia; Anura; Pelobatidae
Source: the annotation of a GenBank genome assembly